CGUAGGGUGCGAGCGUUAAUCGGAAUUACUGGGCGUAAAGCGUGCGCAGGCGGUUUUGUAAGUCAGAUGUGAAAUCCCCGGGCUUAACCUGGGAACUGCGUUUGAAACUACAAGGCUAGAGUGUGGCAGAGGGGGUGGAAUUCCACGUGUAGCAGUGAAAUAGCGUAGAGAUGUGGAGGAACACCGACGGCGAAGGCAGCCCCCUCGGGUUAACAACUGACGCUCAGGCACGAAAGCGUGGGGAGGCAAACAGGAUUAGAUACCCUGGUAGUCCACGCCCUAAACGAUGUCAACUAGUUGUCGGGUCUUAACGGACUUGGUAACGCAGCUAACGCGUGAAGUUGACCGCCUGGGGAGUACGGUCGCAAGAUUA
Molecule: ribosomal RNA, 373 nt
Filed under: uncultured organism
Description: bacterial SSU rRNA
Rfam family: Bacterial small subunit ribosomal RNA
Source: RNAcentral